AGGUACAGCCACACUACCCUGAACGUGCCUAAUCUUGUCUGAUCUCAGAUGCUAAACAGGGUUCAGGCUGGUUAGUAUUUGGAUGGGAGUUCAGACAUUUUGAUUGAAUGUUUAUU
Molecule: ribosomal RNA, 116 nt
Filed under: Ochotona princeps (American pika)
Lineage: Eukaryota; Metazoa; Chordata; Mammalia; Lagomorpha; Ochotonidae
Source: RNAcentral